This 468-nucleotide ribosomal RNA is filed under the name uncultured bacterium. RNAcentral describes it as "partial 16S ribosomal RNA". It matches the Rfam family "Bacterial small subunit ribosomal RNA", at positions 28 to 507 of the family's 1533-position model. The record is from RNAcentral.
GACGAACGCUGGCGGCUUGCUUAACACAUGCAAGUCGAACGGAAAGGCCCUGCUUUUGUGGGGUGCUCGAGUGGCGAACGGGUGAGUAACACGUGAGUAACCUGCCCUUGACUUUGGGAUAACUUCAGGAAACUGGGGCUAAUACCGGAUAGGAGCUCCUGCUGCAUGGUGGGGGUUGGAAAGUUUCGGCGGUUGGGGAUGGACUCGCGGCUUAUCAGCUUGUUGGUGGGGUAGUGGCUUACCAAGGCUUUGACGGGUAGCCGGCCUGAGAGGGUGACCGGACACAUUGGGACGGAGAUACGGCCCAGACUCCUACGGGAGGCAGCAGUGGGGAAUAUUGCACAAUGGGCGGAAGCCUGAUGCAGCAACGCCGCGUGCGGGAUGACGGCCUUCGGGUUGUAAACCGCUUUCGCCUGUGACGAAGCGUGAGUGACGGUAAUGGGUAAAGAAGCACCGGAUAGCUACGUG